RNAcentral lists this ribosomal RNA (450 nucleotides) under uncultured bacterium. Its description in RNAcentral is "bacterial SSU rRNA". It matches the Rfam family "Bacterial small subunit ribosomal RNA", at positions 34 to 507 of the family's 1533-position model. The record is from RNAcentral.
CGCUGGCGGCAUGCCUAACACAUGCAAGUCGAACGAGACCUUCGGGUCUAGUGGCGCACGGGUGCGUAACACGUGGGAAUUUGCCUCGGGGUAUGGAAUAACUCAGGGAAACUUGAGCUAAUACCAUAUAAUGUCUUCGGACCAAAGAUUUAUCGCCCUGAGAUAAGCCCGCGUAGGAUUAGCUAGUUGGUGGGGUAAAGGCUCACCAAGGCGACGAUCCUUAGCUGGUCUGAGAGGACAACCAGCCACACUGGGACUGAGACACGGCCCAGACUCCUACGGGAGGCAGCAGUGGGAAUUUUGGACAAUGGGCGCAAGCCUGAUCCAGCAAUGCCGCGUGCAGGAUGAAGGCCUUCGGGUUGUAAACUGCUUUGUACGGAACGAAACGGUGAGCUCUAAUACAGUUUGCUAAUGACGGUACCGUAAGAAUAAGCACCGGCUAACUACGUG